RNAcentral lists this ribosomal RNA (433 nucleotides) under uncultured bacterium. Its description in RNAcentral is "partial 16S ribosomal RNA". It matches the Rfam family "Bacterial small subunit ribosomal RNA", at positions 29 to 507 of the family's 1533-position model. The record is from RNAcentral.
AACGAACGCUGGCGGCAGGCCUAACACAUGCAAGUCGAGCGGACCCUUCGGGGUUAGCGGCGGACGGGUGAGUAGCGCGUGGGAAUAUGCCCUUCUCUACGGAAUAGUCCUGGGAAACUGGGGGUAAUACCGUAUACGCCCUUUGGGGGAAAGAUUUAUCGGGGAAGGAUUAGCCCGCGUUGGAUUAGGUAGUUGGUGGGGUAAUGGCCUACCAAGCCGACGAUCCAUAGCUGGUUUGAGAGGAUGAUCAGCCACACUGGGACUGAGACACGGCCCAGACUCCUACGGGAGGCAGCAGUGGGGAAUCUUAGACAAUGGGGGCAACCCUGAUCUAGCCAUGCCGCGUGAGUGAUGUAGGCCUUAGGGUUGUAAAGCUCUUUCAGCUGGGAAGAUAAUGACGGUACCAGCAGAAGAAGCCCCGGCUAACUCCGUG